AUGCGGACGGGGUUGAUGGGUAGGGGCAUGAUGUCGUUCAUGUCACCAGUCAUGCCGUGGUAGAGGCAGAUGGGGGCGUCGCAGAUGAUCGACUUGAGGCCGUCACAACACUCGGCGGGAGGCGCUAGCACGGUGAGGUUGGUCAGGUAGUCCAUGCACGGCAUCAUGCCGAUCAACGGCGUCAGGCACUCCGUCAGCUGAGCCGGCGGUGACGGUGGCGGCGGGGACGAAAGGUGGGGUGGGACGGUGCCGCCGGAUGAACUCAGCAACUGCGGCGGGGUGUUGUGGAACGUCGAGGGGUGGAGCAGUUGGUCUCCCCCGAUUCUCGCUUUGGACAGCUGCGCCGUCAUCACCACCAC
This 359-nucleotide long non-coding RNA is filed under the name Setaria viridis. RNAcentral's name for it is "long non-coding RNA (SVIR_LNC000182)". Lineage: Eukaryota; Viridiplantae; Streptophyta; Magnoliopsida; Poales; Poaceae. The record is from RNAcentral.